UACAGAGGGUGCAAGCGUUAAUCGGAGUUACUGGGCGUAAAGGGCGCGUAGGCUGAUAUUUAAGUCGAUUGUGAAAUCCCUGGGCUUAACCUAGGAAUUGCAUUCGAUACUGAAUGUCUUGAGUAUGGUAGAGGAAAGUAGAAUUCUCGGUGUAGUGGUUAAAUACGUAGAUAUCGAGAGGAAUACCGGUGGCGAAGGCGACUUUCUGGGCCAAUACUGACGCUGAGGCGCGAAAGCGUGGGGAG
Molecule: ribosomal RNA, 245 nt
Filed under: uncultured bacterium
Lineage: Bacteria
Description: partial 16S ribosomal RNA
Rfam family: Bacterial small subunit ribosomal RNA
Source: RNAcentral